This 81-nucleotide transfer RNA is filed under the name Puccinia coronata f. sp. avenae. RNAcentral describes it as "Puccinia coronata var. avenae f. sp. avenae partial tRNA-Glu". It matches the Rfam family "tRNA". Rfam says of the family: Transfer RNA (tRNA) molecules are approximately 80 nucleotides in length. Their secondary structure includes four short double-helical elements and three loops (D, anti-codon, and T loops). Lineage: Eukaryota; Fungi; Basidiomycota; Pucciniomycetes; Pucciniales; Pucciniaceae. The record is from RNAcentral.
UCCGAGUUAGUAUAUCGGCUAGUAUAUCCGCCUUUCAUAACCUGGGCGCGGAGGAGACGGGUUCGAUUCCCGUACUCGGAA